RNAcentral lists this ribosomal RNA (321 nucleotides) under Triticum aestivum (bread wheat). Its description in RNAcentral is "partial small subunit ribosomal RNA". The record is from RNAcentral. Lineage: Eukaryota; Viridiplantae; Streptophyta; Magnoliopsida; Poales; Poaceae.
GAAAACCAGCAAGUGGGUCCAAAGGAAUUGCAGAAGAACAUCAAAGAUAAGUUCAAGAUAGAUUUACCAUACAUGAGGUUGUUCAAUGGUAAACAACAUGCUAUGGAUUCUAUUUAUGGUAACUGGCAGAAAAGUUUUCAAUUGUUGUAUUCAUUCAAAGGUGAAGUGGAGAGGACAAGCCCAGGUAGUAUUGUAGAUAUUGAUCACCACACCGUGGAGUACACAUUCAGGGGAGUGACAAAGACCAAGGAAUGCUUUAGGAGGGUUUUGGUCUUCUUUGAGGCUUGUCGCCGGGGUUUUUUGGCAGGCUGCAGGCCUUAG